RNAcentral lists this ribosomal RNA (1574 nucleotides) under Candidatus Hodgkinia cicadicola. RNAcentral's name for it is "bacterial SSU rRNA". It matches the Rfam family "Bacterial small subunit ribosomal RNA". The record is from RNAcentral. Lineage: Bacteria; Pseudomonadati; Pseudomonadota; Alphaproteobacteria; Hyphomicrobiales.
AGAGUUUGAUCCUGGCUCAGAACGAAUGCUAGCGGCAGACCUAACACAUGCAAGUCGAGCGGACAACCUUCGAGGGUUGUUAGCGGCGAACGGGUGAGUAACACGUGAGAAUCUGCCUUGUUCAACGGAAUAGACCAAGACAAUCUUGGUGUAAUGCCGUAUGAUUCCAAGAUUUGGUAAAGAUUAUAUCGGAACAAGAUGAGCUUGCGGUAGAUUAGCUAGUUGGUGAGAUAAAAGCCCACCAAGGCAACGAUCUAUAGCUGGUCUGGAAGGACGGACAGCCACAUCGGGACUGAGACAAGGCCCGACCCUCUGCGGAGGGCAGCAGUGAGGAAUAUUGGACAAUGGGCGUAAGCCUGAUCCAGCCAUGUCGCAUGAGUGAUGACGGUCAUAAUGACCUAGCGCAGUAUGCGCUUUAGAAUUGUAAAGCUCGAUUGUUAGUGAAGAUAAUGACGUUAACUGACGAAAGCUCCGGCCAACUUCGUGCCAGCAGCCGCGGUAAUACGAGGGGAGCGAGUGUUGUUCGGUUUUAAUGGGCGUAAAGGGUGUGUAGGUGGUCUUGUUAGUCGAUAAUCAAAUCUUGGAGAUCAACUCCAUGCCGGUUAUCGAUACUGCAUUACUACGAACUUAAUAAGGUGGAACACAAUUCCAAGUGUAGGAGUGAAAUCCGUUGAUAUUUGGAGGAGUACCGAAGGCGAAGGCAGUUCACUGGGUUAAGUUGACGCUGAAACACGAAAGCGUGGGGAGCAAACAGGAUUAGAUACCCUGGUAGUCCACGCUCUAAACGAUGAGUGCUAACAGUUUGGAACCAAACCCGAUGGCCCAAGUGAAGACCUGAGGUCCGGACCAUUUGAUCAGGCUAUUGGUGUCUUCAUUGUAAAGCUAACGCGUUAAGCACUCCGCCUGGGGACUACGAUCGCAAGAUUAAAACUCAAAGGAAUUGACGGAGACCCGAACAAGCGGUGGAGCAUGUGGUUUAAUUCGAAGCUGCACGAAGAACCUUACCAGCUCUUGACAUCCGAUGCUAAACAUGUUGGAAACAACAUGAACGCUUGCAUAAGCAAGCAUGCCUUGGACAGGUGCUGCAUGGCUGUCGUCAGCUCGUGUCAUGAGACGUAUGGUUAAGUCCUAGAACGAGCGUAACCCUUGCCCAUAGUUGCCCAAUCACACCCCAAGUUCGAUCUUGGGGUCUUAAGGUUCUCUAUGGGAACUGCCAAUGCAAGUUGGACGAAGGAAAGGACAACGGCAAGUCAUCAUGGCCCUUAUGGGCUGGGCUACACACGUGCUACAAUGGCAACUACAAAGAGUCGCAAUAUCGUGAGAUGGAGCAAACCUUAUAAAAGUUGUUUCAGUUCGGAUUGCACUCUGCAACUCGAGUGCAUGAAGCAGGAAUCGCUAGUAAUCGUGGAUCAGCAUGGCACGGUGAAUACGUUCUCGGGUCUUGUACACACUGCCCGUCACACCAUGGAAGCUUGCUUCGUUCGAAGCUUCUAGUUUAGAAGCCAAAACAAGACAAGUGAUCGAGGUGAAGUCGUAACAAGGUAGCCGUAGGAGAACCUGUGGCUGACACAUAA